UACAGAGGGUGCAAGCGUUAAUCGGAAUUACUGGGCGUAAAGGGCGCGUAGGCGGAUAGAUAAGUUAGAUGUGAAAUGUCUGGGCUUAACCUAGAAAUUGCAUUUAAUACUGUUUGUCUAGAGUAGAGUAGAGGGAAGUGGAAUUUCCGGUGUAGCGGUGAAAUGCGUAGAUAUCGGAAAGAACACCAGUGGCGAAGGCGACUUCCUGGACUCAAACUGACGCUGAGGCGCGAAAGCAUGGGUAGCAAACAGG
RNAcentral lists this ribosomal RNA (253 nucleotides) under uncultured bacterium. RNAcentral's name for it is "partial 16S ribosomal RNA". It matches the Rfam family "Bacterial small subunit ribosomal RNA", at positions 524 to 776 of the family's 1533-position model. The record is from RNAcentral.